CUCCCUCCUCUCCGUUGCCGCUGGUAAUACAGGCUCUAGAUUUUUACUAUCUUUUAUGGUUUUGCUUCUCUUAGAAUAACUACGCAACUUCAUUAAGCUUAGAAGUUAUAUCAAAUACUGUUUCAGUAAAUUCUGAUCCUAUUGUUGUUUUUCUGAUUCUUUAUUUGAAGAAAGACUAGCAUAGAACUUUUGAUACAUUGUCAAUAGUAUUUUUGUAUGUGAUAUAAGGGGCCUCAUAUUUGUUUCCGUGGACUGUGCGUUUACAUCUGAGAAAUCAUAUGCGAAAUGAAAAUAACUCUUUUCGAGGAAAUUGGAGAAAAAUUAGUGAGAAAUCACUGCGAGGCUCAUAAUUCUGAUAUUUGUUCUUUUACUGAUAGAAUUUUGAAAAACCUGUGCUUUAUUGAAGCUCAAAAUGAUCCAAUUUAGUUGAGCCGGAUUUUUUUUUUGGCUGAAAUUUUUUAUGAAUUUUAGACUACAUAUAUUUCAAGAUCACCAAGUCUCAGCAACCGAGCAAAGCUGAUGUGUGAUAUAAAGGAGCCGCAUUUUUGUAUUUUCAUUUUUGCUUGAUCCAACUUUAUUUGAUAUUCAUAGGAGGUGAAAAUCAAGG
Molecule: unclassified non-coding RNA, 607 nt
Filed under: Hevea brasiliensis (rubber tree)
Lineage: Eukaryota; Viridiplantae; Streptophyta; Magnoliopsida; Malpighiales; Euphorbiaceae
Source: RNAcentral